RNAcentral lists this ribosomal RNA (303 nucleotides) under uncultured bacterium. Its description in RNAcentral is "partial 16S ribosomal RNA". It matches the Rfam family "Bacterial small subunit ribosomal RNA", at positions 507 to 807 of the family's 1533-position model. The record is from RNAcentral.
AGCAGUCGCCACGGUAAUACGAGGGGUGCAAGCGUUAGUCGGAAUUACUGGGCGUAAAGCGUGCGUAGGCGGUUUGUUAAGUCUGUUGUGAAAUCCCCGGGCUCAACCUGGGAAUGGCAAUGGAUACUGGCAAGCUAGAGUGUGUCAGAGGAUGGUGGAAUUCCCGGUGUAGCGGUUAAAUGCGUAGAGAUCGGGAGGAACAUCAGUGGCGAAGGCGGCCAUCUGGGACAACACUGACGCUGAGGCACGAAGGCGUGGGGAGCAAACAGGAUUAGAUACCCCCGUAGUCCCUGUCUCUUAUAC